Molecule: unclassified non-coding RNA, 530 nt
Filed under: Hevea brasiliensis (rubber tree)
Lineage: Eukaryota; Viridiplantae; Streptophyta; Magnoliopsida; Malpighiales; Euphorbiaceae
Source: RNAcentral
GUUAUUGUCCCUUUCGCUUUCUGCGUGAUUAAGAAGAAAUGGCAGAAGCUGUGCUCUAUAACAUUGCAUCGGAAAUCAUAAACAAGUUAGGAUCUCUGGCUCUUGUUGAGACUGGGAGGUGGAGGAAUCUUGAAGUUGAUCUUGAAAGCCUCAAGAACGCAGUUUCUACCAUCCAAGCCGUGCUUCUUGAUGCAGACAGGAAGUUCUCACUGAAUCAACAAGUCGAGGUUUGGCUUCGAGGAUUGAAAGAAGCAAUUUACGAUGCAGAUGACUUGUUGGAUGAUUUUGCCACAGAUGGAUUGUCGGGGCAAGCGAAGAGUGAAGAUAAGAAUUCUGCAAAGGAGUUAACAAGGACUCAACAAAAGGGAAAGAAAUACUGAGUCAGGACCAGGAGACAAAUAUCAGAGGUAGAGAGACAGACAGGGCAGCAGACUAGGCUGCAUAUACAUCCAGCGAGGGAUUACUUGGUAUAAUGAGUAUACCAGUAUUUUGCAUUUCGUACUGUAACGUAUGACACUGUAUGUACAUUU